This 76-nucleotide transfer RNA is filed under the name Clostridia bacterium BRH_c25. Its description in RNAcentral is "tRNA-Thr". It matches the Rfam family "tRNA". Rfam says of the family: Transfer RNA (tRNA) molecules are approximately 80 nucleotides in length. Their secondary structure includes four short double-helical elements and three loops (D, anti-codon, and T loops). Lineage: Bacteria; Bacillati; Bacillota; Clostridia. The record is from RNAcentral.
GCUGGAGUAGCUCAGUCGGUAGAGCAGAGCAUUCGUAAUGCUCAGGUCGUGGGUUCGAGUCCCAUCUCCAGCUCCA